This 246-nucleotide ribosomal RNA is filed under the name uncultured bacterium. RNAcentral's name for it is "partial small subunit ribosomal RNA". It matches the Rfam family "Bacterial small subunit ribosomal RNA", at positions 26 to 285 of the family's 1533-position model. The record is from RNAcentral.
AGAAUCAACGCUGGCGGCGUGCCUAACACAUGCAAGUCGAACGAGAAAGUUGGAGCAAUCCAUGAGUAAAGUGGCGCACGGGUGAGUAACACGUGACUAACCUACCCUCGAGUGGGGAAUAACCUCGGGAAACCGGGGCUAACACCGCAUAACAUCUACGGAUCAAAUGCGUAAGCAGCUUGAGGAGGGGGUCGCGGCUGAUUAGCUAGUUGGCGGGGUAAUGGCCCACCAAGGCAGUGAUCAGUA